ACUUACAUUAGAGAACGACUUUUUUAAGUUUUAAGCACGUCCAAAACGCUGGAGGAAAAGUAUUCCGCUGUGAAAGGGGGGAGAGAUUCCUUUGCGGUGAAUUUUUUUCUUACCAUACACAGCGCCGAAAACGACAGCGCGUGGAUGAACUCAAAUCAAUUAGGAGGAAACAACCGAAGUAGCAAGAGAGAGCAUGAUGGACCCUUUGUGUGCGAGCCGUAGUAGAAGGCAUACAGUCCAGUCCCACUCAAGCCGUUCUCCAUCUCUCAGGCGGAGCCUCUCAGAGUAGAACACAGGUUCUGGAUCAAAUGGAUCGAUACCGACGCGGAGUGGAGUGGAGUGGAGUGAGACGAGCAGAGCGCAUUGAACAGAACGGAGCGGAGCGUCGGCAUCGGCUUUGCGCGGGUUUAAUUCACUAUCUGGUUGUUAGGGACGUUGAAUGGGUUGGGGGUGCGGGGGCAACGCCCCGCGGUACGGUACAGGGGUAUUUUCUGUACGGAUCUUAAAGUUUUAUAUGAGCUCAGAUUAGGGUUAGUAUAAAUAAUAUAUUGUAACCCUAUUUUUCACAACUGAAUAAAGAAAUCUCCACUUCGCUCU
This is a long non-coding RNA of Olea europaea var. sylvestris, 597 nucleotides long. RefSeq lists it as uncharacterized. The transcript is spliced from 2 exons. NCBI's taxonomy places the organism in Eukaryota, Viridiplantae, Streptophyta, Magnoliopsida, Lamiales, Oleaceae. The record is from RefSeq and is a predicted model, not a curated record.